UAUCAACACUUGUCCUCUACAAUUUUCUUAUAGUGUCACUACAUUUUUUUCUUUCCAAGUCUUAAGUAAAAUGGGUCUAAAAUAUGUGUUGUGUGCCAAGAUAGAAAUGAAGGCUAAUAAGGAUGUGUUUCAUGAUGUUUUUACAAAUAAACCACACCAUGUCUCUACUAUGUCCCCUUUGCAUAUACAAGGUUUGGAACUUCUUGAAGGUGACAUUGGAAUUGUUGGAUCCAAAAUUUGUUGGAACUAUACCCUUGAUGGGGAAAAGAAGAUCUCCAAACAAUACUUGAAACUAUAGAUCAUGAAAAAAAGGUGCUCACACUCAAAGAAUUUGAAGGAGAUGUAACAGAUAAAUAUGAUAGUUAUAAAGCAACUCUUCAUAUCGAAACAAAAGACGAAAUUGAUUUGGUUAGCUGGACAUUGGAGUAUGAAAGGCCAAAUGAGAAUGUCCCUGAACUUAUAAAUUUGCUGAACUUCGUUGUUGGUAUGACAAAAGCUAUUGAUGAUCACCAUGCCAAUUGAUGAAUUGAUAAGAUCUAUGUUGCUCGUACUCUUCAAAAAUGUCUUUAGAUGUGUAUUGAAUCCUUUAAAAAUAGUGCAUUUUUGAAGGAUCUGAUACAAAUAUGGUAACAUUUUUGAAUAGUCCGAGCAACUUAGGAUGGGAUCAUAUAUAAGCAUGUGAGCUUUACAUAAAUAAACUUUGCUUUGUUUGUUGUUUGAAAGUAUGGUAAAAAAAAACAAUCCUUGUUGGUUGUGUACUUUCUUUUAAUGUCGGUUGUAUCUUUCUCAAGUAAGUGAUAUGUUGUCAACUAUGUUAACCUUUGUGUUGUGUAAUAAGACAUGGGAAUGAAGUUUAUAUAUAUUGCUCUU
This is a long non-coding RNA of Solanum tuberosum (potato), 870 nucleotides long. RefSeq lists it as uncharacterized. The record is from RefSeq and is a predicted model, not a curated record. NCBI's taxonomy places the organism in Eukaryota, Viridiplantae, Streptophyta, Magnoliopsida, Solanales, Solanaceae. The transcript has 2 exons.